CAGUCGCCGCGGUAAUACAGAGGGUGCGAGCGUUAAUCGGAUUUACUGGGCGUAAAGCGUGCGUAGGCGGCUUCUUAAGUCGGAUGUGAAAUCCCUGAGCUUAACUUAGGAAUUGCAUUCGAUACUGGGAAGCUAGAGUAUGGGAGAGGAUGGUAGAAUUCCAGGUGUAGCGGUGAAAUGCGUAGAGAUCUGGAGGAAUACCGAUGGCGAAGGCAGCCAUCUGGCCUAAUACUGACGCUGAGGUACGAAAGCAUGGGGAGCAAACAGGAUUAGAUACCCCUGUAGUCCCUGUAUCUUAUAC
This 301-nucleotide ribosomal RNA is filed under the name uncultured bacterium. RNAcentral describes it as "partial 16S ribosomal RNA". It matches the Rfam family "Bacterial small subunit ribosomal RNA", at positions 509 to 807 of the family's 1533-position model. The record is from RNAcentral.